GAGUCAAAUGCUUGCUCUCAUAAGGACAAGGCGUGAUGAGGAGCGAAAUUAAAGUAGCGAAGGCUGCGACGUCACACUGCCGAGAAAAGCUUCUAGCCAGAGACGGUGCACCCGUACCGCAAACCGACACAGGUAGUCGAGGAGAGUAUCCUCAGGUGAGCGAGAGAACUCUCGUUAAGGAACUCGGCAAAAUGGCCCCGUAACUUCGGGAGAAGGGGCGCUGGUCGCAAGAUCAGCCGCAGUGAAAAGGCCCAAGCAACUGUUUAUCAAAAACACAGGCAUCUGCAAAAUCGUAAGAUGAAGUAUAGGUGCUGACACCUGCCCGGUGCUGGAAGGUUAAGAGGAGAGCUUAGCGCAAGCGAAGGUUUGAAUUGAAGCCCCAGUAAACGGCGGCCGUAACUAUAACGGUCCUAAGGUAGCGAAAUUCCUUGUCGGGUAAGUUCCGACCUGCACGAAAGGUGUAAUGAUUUGGGCACUGUCUCAACGAGAGACUCGGUGAAAUUAUAAUACCCGUGAAGAUGCGGGUUACCCGCGACAGGACGGAAAGACCCCAUGGAGCUUUACUGCAGUUUAAUAUUGGGUAUCUGUCAAGCAUGUACAGGAUAGGUAGGAGCCGGAGA
This 620-nucleotide ribosomal RNA is filed under the name Lactobacillus delbrueckii subsp. bulgaricus. Its description in RNAcentral is "partial 23S ribosomal RNA". It matches the Rfam family "Bacterial large subunit ribosomal RNA", at positions 1533 to 2160 of the family's 2925-position model. Lineage: Bacteria; Bacillati; Bacillota; Bacilli; Lactobacillales; Lactobacillaceae. The record is from RNAcentral.